Molecule: ribosomal RNA, 544 nt
Filed under: uncultured bacterium
Lineage: Bacteria
Description: bacterial SSU rRNA
Rfam family: Bacterial small subunit ribosomal RNA
Source: RNAcentral
AAUAGAUACCCGGGUAGUCCACGCCGUAAACGAUGGAUGCUAGCUGUUAUGAGUAUCGACCCUUGUAGUAGCGAAGCUAACGCGUUAAGCAUCCCGCCUGUGGAGUACGAGCGCAAGCUUAAAACAUAAAGGAAUUGACGGGGACCCGCACAAGCGGUGGAGCGUGUUGUUUAAUUCGAUGAUAAGCGAAGAACCUUACCAAGGCUUGACAUCCCUGGAAUUUCUCCGAAAGGAGAGAGUGCCUUCGGGAAUCAGGUGACAGGUGAUGCAUGGCCGUCGUCAGCUCGUGUCGUGAGAUGUUUGGUUAAGUCCAUCAACGAGCGCAACCCUUGUAAAUAGUUGAAUUUUUCUAUUUAGACUGCCUCGGUAACGGGGAGGAAGGAGGGGAUGAUGUCAGGUCAGUAUUUCCCUUACGCCUUGGGCUACAAACACGCUACAAUGGCCGGUACAAAGGGCAGCCAACCCGCGAGGGGAGCAAAUCCCAUCAAAACCGGUCUCAGUUCGGAUAGCAGGCUGAAAUUCGCCUGCUUGAAGCCGGAAUCGC